ACGAAGGGGGCUAGCGUUGUUCGGAUUUACUGGGCGUAAAGCGCACGUAGGCGGGUCGUUAAGUCAGGGGUGAAAUCCCGGAGCUCAACUCCGGAACUGCCUUUGAUACUGGCGACCUUGAGGCUGGAAGAGGUUAGUGGAAUUCCCAGUGUAGAGGUGAAAUUCGUAGAUAUUGGGAAGAACACCAGUGGCGAAGGCGGCUCACUGGACUGGUACUGACGCUGAGGCGCGAAAGCGUGGGGAGCAAACGGGA
RNAcentral lists this ribosomal RNA (253 nucleotides) under uncultured prokaryote. Its description in RNAcentral is "partial 16S ribosomal RNA". It matches the Rfam family "Bacterial small subunit ribosomal RNA", at positions 525 to 777 of the family's 1533-position model. The record is from RNAcentral.